Non-coding RNA from Zonotrichia albicollis (white-throated sparrow), 3708 nucleotides. Lineage: Eukaryota; Metazoa; Chordata; Aves; Passeriformes; Passerellidae. The record is from RefSeq and is a predicted model, not a curated record.
CAUUUUAACUUGUGUCACUGAAGAGCACUAAAGUAAAUGAACUCCUGAGGACAAGAUCAAAGCAGAAUAAGAGACUCUUUUUUUAUAUCCUUGAAUCUCCUGUCCCUUUUGUACACUGAAAUUUAAUUUCCUUUUCAAAGAGAGGUUUUGGAGCUUAUGAAAAUUGACCCAAAAGAUUACAAGGGCUUUGUCACCCUUCCAAUCUCUCUGAAAGAUCCAUAAUUAGGGAGGUUUUUUCCUUCAACAUAUGUGCCCAGCAGACAAAUAUAUAAUUCAGACUUACAAUUACAUGAAAGAGUUAUUUUGGUAUGUUGGAUACAUACAAAUCCAGCCGUUACAAAGAGUUGGAAAAUAUUGUGUGCCUCAAAUGAGUAAAUAUACACCAAAAUAUACAUCAAGGCAUUUUCUUUUUUUUUACUGGCUUGUUUUGAUUUGUGCCAAAACUACACACAAUCACACUAAGGACCUGGGAUAGAUGUUCGCUGCUGAGAUAAAUAUAACAAGUACAAUAAAAGCAAACGAAGAGUAUUAAUUAAGCUCCUCUAGAAAUUCAUUCUGCAAGGAGGAAUGUGCGAGCGGAUACCUACGACAGCCAGUCUGCUUUUUUGCCCUCUAACGGAGUAACAUCGGCUUUGCUCCUCCGGCACAGAGCUUACAACCCAGGGGAGAGGGAACUAACCCAGCACAGCCGGGGCGCGGGGCCGGUCCCUCCCGCUGCUCCCUGCCGGCGGCGGCGCUGGGCAGGACCGGUCUGUGGGGCAGCUGCAGGGGGUUCGGGGCGCAGGACCGGCCCCGUGGGGCAGCUGCAGGGGGGUUCCCGGCGCUGUCGCCCCCCGAGCAUCGCCCAAAGGCGGCCCCUUCUCCCGGAGCCCAUCCCGGCACCGCCACCUCCCCUCUGCCUCCCUCCAGUGGGGAAAUCCCGGCUGGAUGGAUGGGGAGAAGCCUCCCCGCUCCGGAGCGCCGGGGGAUGCUGCGAGCAGCGCCGGGGCCGCCCCUGUUUCUAAAGCACAGAAAUAAUUUUUAUCAAAAACCCCAACAACUCAAGAGCCGAGUGAGGAGUCGGGGGCGGGGAGGCUCCCACCGCGCCUUCUGCAGCAGCGGGGAUUCGCAGCCCCAUCUCUGCACCAUUUCUCUGGAGCACACAAGAGAGGACAUGGUGCACCCCUCCAGCCACACCUACCUUGGUCACAAGUUGCCAGGAGGAGAUAUGGAGGAGAGCUCUGCAGUGUCUGGGUUUGCUCAGAAAGGCUCCUUUCUGUAAAGCAAGGCAGAAGAGGAGUGUGUUUGCCCCAGAGAUGCCUCAGGGAGGCACGGCACAGUGGCAGGGGUGUAGCAUGGAGAGUGCAGAGCAUGGAGAAGAUCCACAGGUCUCUGCCAGCACCUGGCUGAGCCAAGAGCAGAGAACAAGACCAAAUCCACCUGAAACAGCAACUGUGGAGCCUAUUUCUCCUUUUUAUAUCAGUGUUACACUCACUUAAUUCCUUUAGAUGCUCUCAGCUUCCCUGAUGCACCCCAAGGAGUGUGGAGGUAACAAGUGCUCUCUGAUAAUGCCAUGGGAAUUACAGCAGGGUCCAGCCCAGCGUGCUGGAUCUGAUCCCCUCAUGCUGAAGCAUUUCACUAGCAAGUGUCAUUUGGAUGGUUUUGGGAAAGAGUCCAGGAUUUGUUUCACACACAGUAUUUCCUCAACAGCUCAGUGAAUAAAAAAAUAUAAAAUAGUUUGAACUAAUCAUGCAAAUCUUGCUUGUCAUCUUAUGCAGAGGAACUAUAUCUAUUCUAAAGUCUGGGCCAGGGCUUUCAACUGCUGAUGGGGGAUAGUUGUGCAGACUUCAAAGGAGCUGUAUCGGCUUUUACCAAGUGGGGAUCCAGACCUUUAUUCAUGUUUUAAAAUUCAGAAACUGUGCCUAGGUAAAGCAUUUUUCUCUAUAUUUCUAGGUAGCCAGUUUUUUAUUUUAUAGCUGUUCCCUCAGUGGCAGGAUUGUUUCUCAGUAGUCAAUGUUUAAAGGCCCUUCAAGACUGAAGGAAUUAAAAAUGAAUAAUUUAAAGCUGGUCUAUGAUGCAUAAUUUUUAACAUAUGUUUUACAGGCCAUGUGGAACACUUUUUGACUUGUCAGUAGAUAUUUUACAAACAUGCUGUGCUGGAACCUUUUUUAUUUAAGAGUUAGAUUUGAGCCCUCCUAUGCCUCAACACAGCAGCAUGCUGGAGUCUACAAGCCAUAACAAAGAAGCCAUUAUCACCAGCACGGAUCAGAAGAGAGGAGAAAUGAAGCAAUUGCAGAACUUUUUUCCUCUUACACACUCUGCUAAAACAAAUGUGGGCAGAACUAUGGCUCUUCCAUCUUAAGAAGCCUCAUCCCAAGGUAGAGGUAGAGGAGCUGUGAUUUGUUCACUCUAAAACUCCAAAAGAGAUGGACCUAGAUGGUGCUGGAGAAGAAGCCAUGAAACAUGUUGUCUUUGGGGCUUUUUUUUGAAGGAUGGCUGGAGGAUUUUUUUUGCCAACCUCCUGUUAAAUAUUGUGCUAGGAACGCCAUCUGAGUAAUUCUUGACAGUUUUAAUAGGCAAAGCCAAUUGCUGAUAAAUAAAAAUCUUUUAUGGAUUUCAUUUCUUGUCCCAUCCUGACUGCUUGCAACAAGAAAGGGAGGAGGCAUCUACCCUGCAGAUGCUCAAAGGCAGCUGGGUUUUAACCUUAUUGACUGGUUCCCACACUCUGCCUUGUUUUCUUGGAUUGUCCAGCUUUUCAUUUCUAUUUUGAAGUUACUCCAUAUUUGUAGCUAAAAAUAAAUUGGUUUGGUCAUUUCAAAAGCUUCUUGGGCCCAAACCCAAUUUCAAGUGUUUCACCAAGCUGUAAAUUGAGGCAGUGCACUGGGGAAAUGCAAGUUUGGGCUCAUGUUUGCUCCCCCCUCAUUAGCUCUCCCUUCAGUUCAUAAUCCAUCAUCUUUCAAACAAGCCAAUUGCCAUUGUGUCUAGAAGUUAAAAUAGAAAAUCAGCAUUUGGCAUGAACACAGUUGCCAAGAAGCUAUUUCUCCUUGCCUGUGUAAAUAAGUUGUCGUUCAAAAACGGUUGGCUUGCUCUAAAAGAUGUGCUAAGCACUGCACUGUGCUCCCAGUGGGAGGAAAGAGGAGAGGAUGCAGGAUUGUGGCCAAGUAGUGCCCCAUCCCCAGCUUCUCUCACUCAUUCUGUUGAAUGGGACUGUUCUUUGCUCUGGCCAAAAUGCCCUUGGAUAGUUCCUGUCUCAGGGAACAGGGCAGGAGUGAUUACUGACCUUGCUGGUUAUGCCCCCAAGUAAGGACCAAGCUCCACACAGGUGGUUCCCUUUAAAAGUGUUAAUCUAUAUAGUUAUAUUGGAUAAUGAUUUGUAUUUAUUUUACACCAUACAGAACACACCUGUUAAUCAGUAUGACUAGAUGUGAAAGAGAAUAAAUACUUCCAAACUUUACAGAUAUGAAUCUAAGAAGAUUGACCAUGGAUGGACUGUGCACAAUGUAUUUGUUCUGGCUGGCAGAAGAGACAGAUGGUCUAUGUACAUAUGACAGGUGAAAUAUGUAUACCUACCUUACCUCCACUGAAGAGGUGCAUCCUGUUCUGUAUUCAAUUGUGUAAGAGUCACUGUCCUCCUUUUGUGUAACUUGCAAUAGUAGCACCUAAUACACUGUGCUAAUAAACUUAAUAAGGCUAUUUGGUGGCUGUAGACUUUGCCAUGAGUGACACACA